AGCAGCCGCGGUAAUUCCAGCUCCAAUAGCGUAUAUCAAAGUUGUUGCAGUUAAAAAGCUCGUAGUUGAAUUUCGGGAUCAAUUUAUUGGUCGUGCUAUUGUACGUACUGGUAUUAUUGAUUCCUACCUUCUGACGAACCAUGAUGUCAUUAAUUUGGUGUCAUGGGGAAUCAGGACUGUUACUUUGAAAAAUUAGAGUGUUUAAAGCAGGCUCACGCUUGAAUACAUUAGCAUGGAAUAACGAAAUAGGACGUUUGAUUCUAUUUUGUUGGUUUCUAGGAUCGACGUAAUGAUUAAUAGGGAUAGUUGGGGCAUUAGUAUUCAAUUGUCAGAGGUGAAAUUCUUGGAUUUAUUGAAGACUAACUACUGCGAAAGCAUUUGCCAAGGAUGUUUUCAUUAAUCAAGGACGAAAGUUAGGGGAUCGAAGACGAUCAGAUACCG
This 441-nucleotide ribosomal RNA is filed under the name uncultured Glomus. RNAcentral's name for it is "SSU rRNA". It matches the Rfam family "Eukaryotic small subunit ribosomal RNA", at positions 569 to 1017 of the family's 1831-position model. The record is from RNAcentral. Lineage: Eukaryota; Fungi; Glomeromycota; Glomeromycetes; Glomerales; Glomeraceae.